GUCCAGCUGACGAGUCCUAAAUAGGACGAAACGCGCGUCAAAAUGGAU
RNAcentral lists this non-coding RNA (48 nucleotides) under Schistosoma mansoni. Lineage: Eukaryota; Metazoa; Platyhelminthes; Trematoda; Strigeidida; Schistosomatidae. The record is from RNAcentral.